Non-coding RNA from Planctomycetes bacterium RIFCSPHIGHO2_12_39_6, 74 nucleotides. The record is from Rfam. Lineage: Bacteria; Pseudomonadati; Planctomycetota.
GCGCCAGUAGCUCAGUUGGAUAGAGUAUCGGAUUUCUAAUCCGGUGGUCGAGGGUUCAAAUCCUUCCUGGCGCG